This is a non-coding RNA of Triplophysa rosa, 1091 nucleotides long. NCBI's taxonomy places the organism in Eukaryota, Metazoa, Chordata, Actinopteri, Cypriniformes, Nemacheilidae. The record is from the annotation of a RefSeq genome assembly.
AUGAUCAGAGUUAUGGUUGCAGUUAUUGCCGCAGUGUUCUGGCAAACAGAACCUGUUUUUAGCAGUGAAGGGGCAGUUAACCAAGUGCCGCAUGAUCUGCUACUGAGUAAUGGCACAUUACAAAUCAAGUGCAAUCACAACAGUAAUGAAUAUGUCACUAUUCUGUGGUACCAACAGCUCGGUGCUCUGGACCUAAAAUUAAUUGGAUAUAUAUAUUAUAAAGCAGCAACUAUUGAGAACGCAUAUGACGAGCUCUUUGAAAUCAGUGGAAAUGGAGAAAAAGAGUCAUUUCUUAUUUCUCGAAAACUAAUGCAGGCUCAGGACAAUGGCUUGUACUUCUGUGCUGCAAGAACACAGUACUAGAAAUGUGGCUUCUUCCCCACAAAAACCCUCUAAUAUCUCACCUGUUAGACAUACCAUCUUUGCGCUUCUGCGAAGGACUAUUAUCUCCAGUUUUAUUUGUUUCCAAUGGAUUUGAUGUUCCGCAUUUACACUUUGAAACAGCUUUGUUUCCUGUCAGUUGGGGGCAGUGUGUCUACACACGUCUUGUUUCUAACUGUAUCAUUCUAACAUGGUGUGCGUGACUGCGAAAUAGAUGAAUCCAAAUCAAGGCUGUUUGUACUGAAGAACUUCUUUUAGAUUCAGAAUGCUUCCGAAUCUCUUAUAUCUUAUAAUAUGCUUGGUGCACUUAGCCUCAGGUGAAAAAGCAAAAUUGACUGUUACCCAAACACCUCAAGAUCUGAUAACUUAUGGAGGUUCUCUUGAGAUAUCAUGCUCUCACAACAUCCCAAACUAUGACCGCCUGUUGUGGUACACGCAAUCCAAAGCAAAAGAAUUAAUAUUUAUGGGAUAUCUGCUUGGGGAGAAUGGAUACCCAGAAGAAGUAUUCCAAAAGAAAAUUAAAAUACAUGGAAAUGCUAAUAAAUAUGAGGGCUUCUUAACUGUAUAUAAUCUCACUUUGGAACAUAGUGCAAUUUAUUUCUGUGCAGCCUAUUACACAGUUACACCAAUCUUCUCUCUUCCAUACAAAAACAUGCCACCAAUUCUUGUUAGGUACACCUGUGAUAAACCACUGCCAGAUAUCAUACUAG